RNAcentral lists this ribosomal RNA (301 nucleotides) under uncultured bacterium. RNAcentral describes it as "partial 16S ribosomal RNA". It matches the Rfam family "Bacterial small subunit ribosomal RNA", at positions 509 to 809 of the family's 1533-position model. The record is from RNAcentral.
CAGUCGCCACGGUAAUACGUAGGUGGCAAGCGUUGUCCGGAAUUAUUGGGCGUAAAGGGCUCGCAGGCGGUUUCUUAAGUCUGAUGUGAAAGCCCCCGGCUCAACCGGGGAGGGUCAUUGGAAACUGGGAAACUUGAGUGCAGAAGAGGAGAGCGGAAUUCCACGUGUAGCGGUGAAAUGCGUAGAGAUGUGGAGGAACACCAGUGACGAAGGCGGCUUUUUGGCCUGUAACUGACACUGAGGCGCGAAAGCGUGGGGAGCAAACAGGAUUAGAUACCCGAGUAGUCCCUGUCUCUUAUAA